AAAUUGAAGAGUUUGAUCAUGGCUCAGAUUGAACGCUGGCGGCAGGCCUAACACAUGCAAGUCGAGCGGUAGCACAGAGAGCUUGCUCUCGGGUGACGAGCGGCGGACGGGUGAGUAAUGUCUGGGAAACUGCCUGAUGGAGGGGGAUAACUACUGGAAACGGUAGCUAAUACCGCAUAAUGUCGCAAGACCAAAGUGGGGGACCUUCGGGCCUCAUGCCAUCAGAUGUGCCCAGAUGGGAUUAGCUAGUAGGUGGGGUAACGGCUCACCUAGGCGACGAUCCCUAGCUGGUCUGAGAGGAUGACCAGCCACACUNNNNNNNNNNNNNNNNNNNNNNNNGCAGAAGAAGCACCGGCUAACUCCGUGCCAGCAGCCGCGGUAAUACGGAGGGUGCAAGCGUUAAUCGGAAUUACUGGGCGUAAAGCGCACGCAGGCGGUUUGUUAAGUCAGAUGUGAAAUCCCCGGGCUCAACCUGGGAACUGCAUCUGAUACUGGCAAGCUUGAGUCUCGUAGAGGGGGGUAGAAUUCCAGGUGUAGCGGUGAAAUGCGUAGAGAUCUGGAGGAAUACCGGUGGCGAAGGCGGCCCCCUGGACGAAGACUGACGCUCAGGUGCGAGUACGGCCGCAAGGUUAAAACUCAAAUGAAUUGACGGGGGCCCGCACAAGCGGUGGAGCAUGUGGUUUAAUUCGAUGCAACGCGAAGAACCUUACCUGGUCUUGACAUCCACGGAAGUUUUCAGAGAUGAGAAUGUGCCUUCGGGAACCGUGAGACAGGUGCUGCAUGGCUGUCGUCAGCUCGUGUUGUGAAAUGUUGGGUUAAGUCCCGCAACGAGCGCAACCCUUAUCCUUUGUUGCCAGCGGUCCGGCCGGGAACUCAAAGGAGACUGCCAGUGAUAAACUGGAGGAAGGUGGGGAUGACGUCAAGUCAUCAUGGCCCUUACGACCAGGGCUACACACGUGCUACAAUGGCGCAUACAAAGAGAAGCGACCUCGCGAGAGCAAGCGGACCUCAUAAAGUGCGUCGUAGUCCGGAUUGGAGUCUGCAACUCGACUCCAUGAAGUCGGAAUCGCUAGUAAUCGUGGAUCAGAAUGCCACGGUGAAUACGUUCCCGGGCCUUG
Molecule: ribosomal RNA, 1118 nt
Filed under: Bacteroides caccae
Lineage: Bacteria; Pseudomonadati; Bacteroidota; Bacteroidia; Bacteroidales; Bacteroidaceae
Description: partial 16S ribosomal RNA
Rfam family: Bacterial small subunit ribosomal RNA
Source: RNAcentral